AAAUGGUAGAGUGCCAGCCUUGAGCAAAAAAGUUAAGAGACAGAACCCAGGCCUUGAGUUCAAGCUCCAGGAGUGGCACAAAAGAAAGGGGGGAAGGAAAGGGGGAGGGAGGGAG
Molecule: long non-coding RNA, 115 nt
Organism: Dipodomys spectabilis (banner-tailed kangaroo rat)
Lineage: Eukaryota; Metazoa; Chordata; Mammalia; Rodentia; Heteromyidae
Exons: 3
Source: RefSeq, a predicted model, not a curated record